Cygnus olor (mute swan) is the source of this 187-nucleotide long non-coding RNA. RefSeq lists it as uncharacterized. The record is from RefSeq and is a predicted model, not a curated record. NCBI's taxonomy places the organism in Eukaryota, Metazoa, Chordata, Aves, Anseriformes, Anatidae. The transcript has 2 exons.
CCUUUCAAAUCUUGCCUUCUUUUGCUUCAGAAAACCUCUGGAAUCUUCACAGGGUUAGACCCCGCUACUUUUACCCAUGACACCACUGGAGAUACACAUGGUGGAUCUAAGUCUUCUGUAUUGAUUCAUAUCUCCUUUUCCUAAGAUAUCCUCUCCCUUCCUGUGCACCCAGCAAGGCAAAUUUGAA